GUCCAUGGACGCCAGGCACAGAACCUCCCCUCAUUCAUCUGUUUACUUUCUAAAUAUGCCUCUGUUUGGACUUGCAUCAGUGGGGAGACAAUAUCUAAGAAAACGAGGAAGGAAAUCUGUGGAAAACAAAGGAAAGGGAAAGAAACCCUGUGUGAUAGAGACUGCCCCUCGCUGUUCCUGAUUACGGCAGAUUUUCACAACGCUUGGCGCCAUCAAAAUCAGCCAUCCAGCCAGCCGGGCAGGCAGACUGGGAGAGGAGGACUGGUCGUGAUCCUAGAAAAUAACAACGCAUGUCAGAGAAUGGCAACAGAGAGGACCUGCUCUCUUUCCUCAAAACAAGAAAUAUACCUGAUAGUGUCAUCGACCAACUAAAAGAAGAUAAGUAACUCUAUCUAAUCUCCAGUGAAAAGAACAAGAAUGCCGUAAAAACAACACGACUAGCUGGAGACUGAGGCAAGAGUGAAGAGAAAAUCUGCCCUAAAGAUUUGAAACAGGAAGAGCGUGGCGUCAGUACAGGCGGGAGAUAAGAGCGCUGCGCUCCAUACACAAACACAGGGUUUCUGUGGCUGAGUGACUCCCCACUCUCUCGGCGCCCUCACAGUAGCUGUCUUCUCUCCCUGACCGGCUCCGGACCACAGGCCACCACCCACCCCUGCACAAAGCAGAUCCAGGGGCCUGAUACACCCUGACUGACUCCAGGGGUCUUAAGGGGAUUUGUGCAAGUCCAGGGAAUGGAUGGCCUCAAACAGGAAACCCUGGGAAAAAAUGAGGGUACUUU
Molecule: long non-coding RNA, 778 nt
Organism: Phyllopteryx taeniolatus (common seadragon)
Lineage: Eukaryota; Metazoa; Chordata; Actinopteri; Syngnathiformes; Syngnathidae
Exons: 3
Source: RefSeq, a predicted model, not a curated record